Molecule: long non-coding RNA, 326 nt
Organism: Eurytemora carolleeae
Lineage: Eukaryota; Metazoa; Arthropoda; Copepoda; Calanoida; Temoridae
Exons: 3
Source: RefSeq, a predicted model, not a curated record
AAAAAAAAACAUUUUAUUUUCAGAAAACUGUUUUCAUCAGAAAUCCUGAGAUGAAUAUUUUGGCUCAGAUUUCUCAGAUUAGAGGAGAAGCUCAAGAUCUUGGUUUAAUCACUCCUCCCAGUCUAAACUUACACCUGGAGACUUUCAAAUCUGUCCAUCUUGCUCUAGGAUGAUUUUGGAGUCCAGAAGCCACUUUUGGGGGAGUACCUGGAGUGGUAUUUACUAGGGUUGGGUAUACAGGAGGAGAUAAGGAUAAUCCAACCUACUACAGUUUGGGAAACCAUACGGAAACUGUGGAAGUCUGGUUCGACGAAUCUAUAGGAAGC